This 500-nucleotide ribosomal RNA is filed under the name uncultured bacterium. RNAcentral describes it as "partial 16S ribosomal RNA". It matches the Rfam family "Bacterial small subunit ribosomal RNA", at positions 30 to 523 of the family's 1533-position model. The record is from RNAcentral.
AUUGAACGCUGGCGGAAUGCUUUACACAUGCAAGUCGAACGGCAGCACGGACUUCGGUCUGGUGGCAAGUGGCGAACGAGUGAGUAAUGUAUCGGAACGUGCCCAGUCGUGGGGGAUAACGUAGUGAAAAUUACGCUAAUACCGCAUACGAUCUAUGGAUGAAAGCGGGGGAUCGCAAGACCUCGCGCGAUUGGAGCGGCCGAUAUCAGAUUAGGUAGUUGGUGGGGUAAAGGCCCACCAAGCCAACGAUCUGUAGCUGGUCUGAGAGGACGACCAGCCACACUGGAACUGAGACACGGUCCAGACUCCUACGGGAGGCAGCAGUGGGGAAUUUUGGACAAUGGGCGAAAGCCUGAUCCAGCCAUUCCGCGUGCAGGAUGAAGGCCCUCGGGUUGUAAACUGCUUUUGUACAGAACGAAAAGGUUUCUACUAAUACUAGGAGCUCAUGACGGUACUGUAAGAAUAAGCACCGGCUAACUACGUGCCAGCCGCCGCAGUAA